GCUGAGUGUGCCAGCAGUAACACAAUAACCUGACUCACCAAAGGGACACAAAUGGUGCUGAACCCCCACUGAGCAUUUAAAUUGCUACUAUCUGGUUACUAUCCCGCAGGAGAGAAGGAUACGUGGCAGGCCUACUCUACUAUGAAAGUCAAGGCUGGAGUCGCUGAUAUGGCAGCUUCAAUAACACUCAAAGCUUUAAUGCCCCGUAAUCUACUCUAAAGCCCCAAGAUGAAUUUACUUUAAGAGAAGUGCAGAUAGUUGGCCAGAGGAGACACAGACAGAGGAAUACAAAGCCUGGAGAGUCAGACACACAAUGUGUUCUGCCAGGAAGACAUCAUUGGAGGGGACAACUCGUGCGCUUCACUGCCUCUGUGCUCAGGUGUCGACGGGCUACCUUUACUUCAGGGACAACAGUCACCUUACAACAUAAUGGACUAUUAAUAGAGGGUAGAGGCAACAGGCGUCUUUCCUUUCUUCACAAGCUCAAGCAGGAGUAGGGCUUUGGCUACCAUAUAUCGGUGUCAAAUUGCACUGCUGACAACAAAAGACAAAAGUGUGUUGGAGACUGUAGCAUUUUCAUGUUGCUUUGACCAGAUUUUUCUACAAGCACAAUCCGUAGAGAAUCUUCUCUAUCCAAUC
Molecule: long non-coding RNA, 639 nt
Organism: Sander lucioperca (pikeperch)
Lineage: Eukaryota; Metazoa; Chordata; Actinopteri; Perciformes; Percidae
Exons: 2
Source: RefSeq, a predicted model, not a curated record